This 465-nucleotide ribosomal RNA is filed under the name uncultured bacterium. RNAcentral describes it as "partial 16S ribosomal RNA". It matches the Rfam family "Bacterial small subunit ribosomal RNA", at positions 28 to 507 of the family's 1533-position model. The record is from RNAcentral.
GACGAACGCUGGCGGCGUGCUUAACACAUGCAAGUCGAACGGAAAGGCCCCUUUGGGGGUACUCGAGUGGCGAACGGGUGAGUAACACGUGAGUAACCUGCCCUUGACUUCGGGAUAACUUCAGGAAACUGGGGCUAAUACCGGAUAGGAAUCCUUGCUGCAUGGUGGGGGUUGGAAAGCUUCGGCGGUUUUGGAUGGACUCGCGGCUUAUCAGCUUGUUGGUGGGGUAGUGGCUUACCAAGGCUCUGACGGGUAGCCGGCCUGAGAGGGCGACCGGCCACAUUGGGACUGAGAUACGGCCCAGACUCCUACGGGAGGCAGCAGUGGGGAAUAUUGCACAAUGGGCGGAAGCCUGAUGCAGCAACGCCGCGUGCGGGAUGACGGCCUUCGGGUUGUAAACCGCUUUCAGCAGGGGCGAAGCUUGUGGUGACGGUACCUGCAGAAGAAGCACCGGCUAACUACGUG